UACGUAGGGGGCAAGCGUUGUCCGGAUUUAUUGGGCGUAAAGCGCACGUAGGCGGCUUGGCAAGUCGGAUGUGAAAUCCCUCGGCUCAACCAAGGAAGUGCAUCCGAAACUGCCGAGCUUGAGUACUUAAGAGGAUCGCGGAAUUCCCGGUGUAGAGGUGAAAUUCGUAGAUAUCGGGAGGAACACCAGUGGCGAAGGCGGCGAUCUGGGAAGAUACUGACGCUGAGGUGCGAAAGCGUGGGGAGCGAACAGG
RNAcentral lists this ribosomal RNA (253 nucleotides) under uncultured bacterium. RNAcentral's name for it is "partial 16S ribosomal RNA". It matches the Rfam family "Bacterial small subunit ribosomal RNA", at positions 524 to 776 of the family's 1533-position model. The record is from RNAcentral.